Molecule: long non-coding RNA, 437 nt
Organism: Cavia porcellus (domestic guinea pig)
Lineage: Eukaryota; Metazoa; Chordata; Mammalia; Rodentia; Caviidae
Exons: 4
Source: RefSeq, a predicted model, not a curated record
GGAUGCUGUAAGCUAAACAGCCUUCCUCUACCCAAGUCCUUCCACCACGCCAUUUUACUUUGGAGCCAGCUCAUUACGGACUGAAAUUUCUACAAACUACUCAAAGUCUGCUGAGCUCUAGUAAUCCUCCUACCUCAGCCUCCCAUAGGAUUAUAGGGUCUUGCUAAAUUGUGCGGGCUGAGCUUGAAUUUGCAGUCUUCUUGCUUUGACCUUCCAGAGUGCUGCGAUUACAGGUACCGAUCCUGUGGCUUCAGUGACGACUCCCAGGAGGAGACUUACGAAUGAAAAUGGAGCAAGCAUCAGAAACGUCAAAAGAAAUUCCCCAAAACACUCAAGAAUCAAACAGAAAAGAAAACCAGGAACCAGGGAAGUUUUCAAGCCAGUUCAUUAAACCAUGGAGUGACCAGGAAAUCCAAAACUUCCUUGAAGAAUGGGAA